CCCUUAGAUGUUCUGGGCCGCACGCGUGCUACACUGAGUGGAUCAGCGGGUCAGGUUGCGCGAAAGUGUUUCCUAAUCUUUAAAUCCGCUCGUGAUGGGGAUUGACGGUUGCAAUUUUCCGUCAUGAACGAGGAAUACCUUGUAAGCGCGGGUCAUCAUCCCGCGCUGAAUACGUCCCUGCCCAUUGUACACACCGCCCGUCGCUCCUACCGAUUGAGUGGUCCGGUGAGGCUUUGGGAUCUGAGCGGAAAGAGCGUUUCGCUGUUUCUGCCCGGAAAACUCAGUCGAACCUUAUCAUUUAGAGGAAGGAGAAGUCGUAACA
This 322-nucleotide ribosomal RNA is filed under the name uncultured eukaryote. Its description in RNAcentral is "partial 18S ribosomal RNA". It matches the Rfam family "Eukaryotic small subunit ribosomal RNA", at positions 1470 to 1796 of the family's 1831-position model. The record is from RNAcentral.